CCAGACUCGAGACUAACCUUGGUCUUAGCUGCAUCUUUGGAUUUGUCUUCCAUUUGAGAAUAGAUUCAAACCAAUAUCACUUGGUUGAUGUCUCAAAAACGCUUCAGAAAUGUAAAUCAACAACGACUGCCAAACGUAGACAGCCGAGCAAGUUGGCAGAGCAGCCAGGAUAGCUUGCAGCACUCACAAGGCUCAAUCCAGAGUUUCCACUUGGAAUGAAAUGGAAUGGAAUGGAAUGAAGUGCCCUUUUGAAGAGAAGAUACUUAGGCUGCUUUUAUACC
Phasianus colchicus (ring-necked pheasant) is the source of this 281-nucleotide long non-coding RNA. RefSeq lists it as uncharacterized. NCBI's taxonomy places the organism in Eukaryota, Metazoa, Chordata, Aves, Galliformes, Phasianidae. The record is from RefSeq and is a predicted model, not a curated record.